Non-coding RNA from Mycena latifolia, 98 nucleotides. The record is from the annotation of a GenBank genome assembly. Lineage: Eukaryota; Fungi; Basidiomycota; Agaricomycetes; Agaricales; Mycenaceae.
AGCUUGAUAGCACAACUGGUUAGUGCAGCUGCUACAAAUGCAAAACUUCAGGAUCAAUCUUUCUGCAGAAGAUCCCUGUUCGACUCAGAGUCAGGUUC